This is a small nuclear RNA of Canis lupus familiaris (dog), 147 nucleotides long. RefSeq annotates it as U4 spliceosomal RNA. The record is from RefSeq and is a predicted model, not a curated record. The transcript has a single exon. Lineage: Eukaryota; Metazoa; Chordata; Mammalia; Carnivora; Canidae.
AGCUUUGCACAGUGGCAGUAAUCAUAGCCAGUGAGGUUUAUCUGAGGCAUGAUUAUUGCUAACUGAAAACUAAAAGGACUCAACUCACUAGAAACACAAAACAGCCACAAAUGCUACCACACAUGUAAUUUUAAAGUUCCUAGUCAC